GUGUUGUAUGAAAGGAGAGAAGGUUCUCAUUCUCCUUGAUAUCGAUGGAAGAGGUUCUACUGGCCUUUACAACACCAUUGAAGAGAUCCUAACCAGGCUCUUGAAUGUUCU
RNAcentral lists this non-coding RNA (111 nucleotides) under Monodelphis domestica (gray short-tailed opossum). Lineage: Eukaryota; Metazoa; Chordata; Mammalia; Didelphimorphia; Didelphidae. The record is from RNAcentral.